Molecule: ribosomal RNA, 495 nt
Filed under: uncultured bacterium
Lineage: Bacteria
Description: partial 16S ribosomal RNA
Rfam family: Bacterial small subunit ribosomal RNA
Source: RNAcentral
GACGAACGCUGGCGGCGUGCCUAAUACAUGCAAGUAGAACGCUGAAGGAGGAGCUUGCUCUUCUGGAUGAGUUGCGAACGGGUGAGUAACGCGUAGGUAACCUGCCUGGUAGCGGGGGAUAACUAUUGGAAACGAUAGCUAAUACCGCAUAACAUUGACUAUUGCAUGAUAGUCAAUUAAAAGGUGUAAAUGCACCACUACCAGAUGGACCUGCGUUGUAUUAGCUAGUUGGUGGGGUAACGGCUCACCAAGGCGACGAUACAUAGCCGACCUGAGAGGGUGAUCGGCCACACUGGGACUGAGACACGGCCCAGACUCCUACGGGAGGCAGCAGUAGGGAAUCUUCGGCAAUGGACGGAAGUCUGACCGAGCAACGCCGCGUGAGUGAAGAAGGUUUUCGGAUCGUAAAGCUCUGUUGUAAGAGAAGAACGAGUGUGAGAGUGGAAAGUUCACACUGUGACGGUAUCUUACCAGAAAGGGACGGCUAACUACGUG